Molecule: ribosomal RNA, 459 nt
Filed under: uncultured bacterium
Lineage: Bacteria
Description: partial 16S ribosomal RNA
Rfam family: Bacterial small subunit ribosomal RNA
Source: RNAcentral
CCUACGGGUGGCAGCAGUGAGGAAUAUUGGUCAAUGGGCGGGAGCCUGAACCAGCAAAGCCGCGUGAAGGAAGAAGGCGCCAAGCGUCGUAAACUUCUUUUGUCGGGGAACAAAGGGCGCCACGUGUGGCGUUGUGAGUGUACCCGAAGAAAAAGCAUCGGCUAACUCCGUGCCAGCGGCCGCGGUGAUACGGAGGAUGCGAGCGGUAUCCGGUUUUAUUGGGUAUAAAGGGUGCGUAGGCGGUCCGGAAAGUCAACGGUAAAAUCCCGGGGCUCAACCCCGGCGAGCCGUUGAAACUGUCGGACUAGAGACGGCGAGAAGUACGCGGAAUGCGCGGUGUAGCGGUGAAAUGCAUAGAUAUCGCGCAGAACUCCGAUUGCGAAGGUAGCGUACCGGCGCCGGACUGACGCUGAGGCACGAAAGCGUGGGUAUCGAACAGGAUUAGAUACCCGGGUAGUC